RNAcentral lists this ribosomal RNA (497 nucleotides) under uncultured bacterium. RNAcentral's name for it is "partial 16S ribosomal RNA". It matches the Rfam family "Bacterial small subunit ribosomal RNA", at positions 28 to 507 of the family's 1533-position model. The record is from RNAcentral.
GAUGAACGCUGGCGGCGUGCCUAAUACAUGCAAGUAGAACGCUGAAGGAAGGAGCUUGCUCUUUCCGGAUGAGUUGCGAACGGGUGAGUAACGCGUAGGUAACCUGCCUGGUAGCGGGGGAUAACUAUUGGAAACGAUAGCUAAUACCGCAUAACAGUAGAUGUUGCAUGAUAUCUACUUAAAAGGUGCAAUUGCACCACUACCAGAUGGACCUGCGUUGUAUUAGCUAGUUGGUGAGGUAACGGCUCACCAAGGCGACGAUACAUAGCCGACCUGAGAGGGUGAUCGGCCACACUGGGACUGAGACACGGCCCAGACUCCUACGGGAGGCAGCAGUAGGGAAUCUUCGGCAAUGGACGGAAGUCUGACCGAGCAACGCCGCGUGAGUGAAGAAGGUUUUCGGAUCGUAAAGCUCUGUUGUAAGAGAAGAACGAGUGUGAGAGUGGAAAGUCCACACUGUGACGGUAUCUUACCAGAAAGGGACGGCUAACUACGUG